Long non-coding RNA from Rhineura floridana, 621 nucleotides. RefSeq lists it as uncharacterized. NCBI's taxonomy places the organism in Eukaryota, Metazoa, Chordata, Lepidosauria, Squamata, Rhineuridae. The record is from RefSeq and is a predicted model, not a curated record. The transcript is spliced from 3 exons.
UCUGCUCCAUCACAGCUCUGGAACAGAUUGGGGCUCCUUCUUUCCUGAACCAUUUCUAUUCCAGUUGCUCAUUACAAGAACUACUACUUGCUCUGAGUUGCUGCAUAAGCAAAAGAAAAAAAAAGAAAAAAUUGGCAGAGGCAUGGCUGUGACUAUCAUGAAGGGACCCUGAACUUCUGAAUUUGCCACUGCAUUACUGCUGAAGGCACUACUGCUGAAGACCAAGCAGAUAUUUCAUCAUGAAUUCUUUGGUGGUGAAUGAUGCAGGAGAGAUCCUUCCAUGCCCCUUUAGCCUUUCCAGCCAGACACUUUGUCAUAGUGAAAUGUGGAGGAGCAGAGUGAACAUCGACCGCCAUGGAUCUUUCAUUCUUGAGAAUGACCCUUCUUAAUUUGAUGACAGUCCCAUGACUGAUACUGUCAAUAUCAGUGACACAACUCAUUUCUUCUCAUUUUUCAAAGCUAUAGGACGGUGGUGGCACCAAAUGAUUGAAAAUGCACACAUUCUGAUAGAUAAUUAUGCUCCACUAAAGGCCAUGUACAGAAAUCAAAUGGAAUCAGUUCUAACAAUUUUUUCUGUGCUGUUGUCUAGUCCUUUUCUAUGUAUAAUUAUGUCAAAGUCUC